GAUUAAGCCAUGCAUGUGUAAGUAUAAAUAAUUCUACUUUGAAACUGCGAAUGGCUCAUUAUAUCAGUUAUAGUUUAUUAGAAAAAAUGUACUACUUGGAUAACCGUAGUAAUUCUAGGGCUAAUACAUGAAUGAAUCCUCGACUUUGAAGAGGUGUGUUUAUUAGUAUGAAAACCAUAUGCUUGUGCAUGAUAGUGAGUAAUAAUAACCUUUCGUAUCGUAUGUUGAAAUAACGAUAGUUCUUUCAAGUUUCUGCCCUAUCAGCUUUCGAUGGUAGUGUAUUGGACUACCAUG
Molecule: ribosomal RNA, 294 nt
Filed under: Blastocystis sp.
Lineage: Eukaryota; Bigyra; Opalinata; Blastocystidae
Description: partial small subunit ribosomal RNA
Rfam family: Eukaryotic small subunit ribosomal RNA
Source: RNAcentral